UGCCAUAAUUCGGGCGAUACCUGGAGG
Molecule: small RNA, 27 nt
Filed under: Bombyx mori (domestic silkworm)
Lineage: Eukaryota; Metazoa; Arthropoda; Insecta; Lepidoptera; Bombycidae
Description: ovarian small RNA-33693
Source: RNAcentral